UAACGCGAAGAACCUUACCAGGUCUUGACAUCUUCUGCUAACCUAAGAGAUUAGGCGUUCCCUUCGGGGACGGAAUGACAGGUGGUGCAUGGUUGUCGUCAGCUCGUGUCGUGAGAUGUUGGGUUAAGUCCCGCAACGAGCGCAACCCUUAUUGUCAGUUGCCAGCAUUUAGUUGGGCACUCUGGCGAGACUGCCGGUGACAAACCGGAGGAAGGUGGGGAUGACGUCAAAUCAUCAUGCCCCUUAUGACCUGGGCUACACACGUGCUACAAUGGACGGUACAACGAGUCGCGAAACCGCGAGGUCAAGCUAAUCUCUUAAAGCCGUUCUCAGUUCGGAUUGCAGGCUGCAACUCGCCUACAUGAAGCUGGAAUCGCUAGUAAUCGCGGAUCAGC
Molecule: ribosomal RNA, 395 nt
Filed under: uncultured bacterium
Lineage: Bacteria
Description: bacterial SSU rRNA
Rfam family: Bacterial small subunit ribosomal RNA
Source: RNAcentral